RNAcentral lists this long non-coding RNA (783 nucleotides) under Mytilus galloprovincialis (Mediterranean mussel). The record is from RNAcentral. Lineage: Eukaryota; Metazoa; Mollusca; Bivalvia; Mytilida; Mytilidae.
GGCGCACAAAAUGGUCAGAAUGAAUAAACUAUAAUUUUCCCAACAUAAUAUAUUAAAAGUUAAGUAAAAUAGGAUAAACAGGGUAUAAUAUAAUCAGUUUCGAUUAAAUUAAUUUACAUCUAAUAUUAGGUUAAAUGAAAUACUUAAUGUGUUCAAUAAAAAAAAUGCAAAACCCAAACCUCCAACAGACUUCGGAAGUUCUACGAGUUUGAAUGUGAAGUCGUUUUCAAUUGGUAUCUAAUCUGCUUAAGGUUUCUGGUAAAAAAAAACAUCUCUAGAUGGGGCUUCUAAGCCUUCCAUAUUAUUAUAAAGCAGACAAAAAUAAGACAUUAAAAAAAUUCAUACUAAAAUCUUUUAAACAAUUUUUUUUUAUAUAUAUAUAUAUCAGCUGGAAAAGCUUUAUGUUGGAUGUAACAUAUAAUACAAAAGUGUCAUUCAACAGACGUACAAAUCUAAAUGAAGAUAAAAGGGAAUCACAAUUCGCCGUUUCAGAAUCUAAUGCAUUAUUGGUAAUAUGUGACCAGCCACGACAUAUCCAGGCUUAUGGAGGUAGAACGUCAUUGUGAGAAAAUCGCCGUUAACUAUAUGCCAUUUCCAGGCUUAGGAGGGUACAUUGUCUAAAAUUUGAUUUUUGUAUAUUUAUCUAGAAUAUUCCGAAACAAAACUCUCUGUCAUGUUAAUAUUAUGACAUAUUGAAACGAGUCAGUACUACGGAAGCGUAUUAGCGUCACCACAUUUUUUUUUAUUUUUCUUCCUAUGUUUGCGUGAUAUAACGCAAAUCUU